Non-coding RNA from Macaca mulatta (Rhesus monkey), 3412 nucleotides. NCBI's taxonomy places the organism in Eukaryota, Metazoa, Chordata, Mammalia, Primates, Cercopithecidae. The record is from RefSeq and is a predicted model, not a curated record.
CCUGGACAACAGAAUGAGACCCUGUCUCGAAAAAAAAAAAAAAAGAUUGAAGUUAAUUGGUCUACAAAAGAUGAAAACCAUGUCCUUGUCUUCAUUCGCUGACAUUUAACCAUCUUAACCACCUUUAACCAUAACUCUCCAGUUGCACGGAUCAACCAUGAUGAUAGGGUUUUGAAACACUGGCCAACAUUACUGUUCUUCCCCACAUCAGUUCUAGAGGUUUGUGUAUCUGGUGCUCACACUAACCUGUUUUUAGAAGCCCCCAGAAAUUAGCUGAGAAUGGUUGUCCACAAUCCCCAGAAGUCACUUCCAUGUUCAUGGAGGGAGGUGGAUAAUCCUUAUGAGAGUAAGGUUUUCCUGCAGAGUCAUGGCAAGUGGUGGAGUAAAUCCAUUUUCUUUCUGAUGUGGGGGUAAGUUGUGUUCAAACACCAGCGUGGUUGUUGCAUCCACUGACCUAGUUUUCUAAGUAGGUGGAAAUACGGUUAUAGUUACUUGUCACUUGCUUGUUGAAGCCUGCUGGAUUGACAGCUGUCUGUGAAUCUGUGAAGUGACCAGUAAUGCUGCGGGAAUGCGGCUGGAGAAUGUGGAAACCAGCUUGAGAAAAGCAAGUGAGCUUCUGCUCAGAAUCAUAGGAUGCUAGAACAGGAAGGGAACAGGGCAAUCACAACUUAAGCUUCUGGGGCUCCAGACAAGAACCUCCAGAUCCUGAGCAGGUCCUACACCUCAUUGUGCUUGUAAAAAUGCAGAGUCCUGGGCCCCCAACACCAGGAAUUCAUAUUCAGCUCGUUUGGGGCAGAGUGUGGGACCUGAAGGGAUCCGAUGCUGUUAGCUCAAAAACUACACUGGACUUGCAGAUACGGAGAGCUAAGACCUGCCAGGAGGCAGGAAGCCUGGUCCUGAUUCCCAGCCCAGUGCUCUUUGCAGCCCAGGCAGGGUUCCCUAUACCUGAAAUGUGUUAUAACCAACACAUAGUCUAACCAGAUUGUUGCAUUACUUGACCAAGCAGUCCUAGCCAGCCCAGAGAACCGUUCUGAUGCGUUGGAAAGAGCUUUCUGGCACAGAGCAGAACUGAUUUGCCUUGGGAUGUUCCACCUCCCUCCUCUGUCUAGGAUGGGUAGAGACCUACUGAUCUAAUUCCUGAAUGUCUAUCAUAAGGCGAUAUGUUCUUAGCUAUUUGUCUUUGCCUUAUCUUCAGAAAUUAAGAUAAAGGUAUGCCUGACUGCCUCCAUUUAAUAAAAAGACAGGAUGGACAGCUAGAGGAUGGGAGGGUACGAAGGCAGUCACAGGUAUGGUUAAGGGUAGGGCAGGCUUCCAUUCAUCCAGGCAUCGUGGACAGUCUCCAGAACGUGGAUUCUGAGUCCUUACUUGGAGAGCCCAUUUUGUUCUCUUCCACUCUCCAUCCUUUGAGGUGAGAAACAAAACUUACUCUUUGUAUUAAAACCUCAAAUUGGCUGUUGCCUUGGAAAUGCUGCCCUGCUUCCUCUCUUUAAUCAUUAGUAUCUUAUUUAAGCUCCAUCAUCCCCUGGAGUUUUAGGAACUAGCAAGAUGUCCUCCAUGAGACAGAGAUCUUACAGAUGCAGUAGUUUAUCAGACAAGCCCAUUCCUUGGGCGGAGAGCCACAGCACCCUGAGAGCGUGGGGAAAAUAGUGUUUCCAUCUUCAAACAGGCUCUGCUCCAUGCCAGACACCACUGACACUGGGCACAUGGAUUUUGGGAGAACGUGUGUGUGUGUGUGUGUGUGUGUGCACGCUCGUGCACUUAGGCACACAGGAAUGAAUAUUUUUCACUAAUUGGGUGGAGGUGGAGAGGCACCAGAGACAUGGAGUAUGUAAAAACUGAAAAACAACUCAACACUUCUGGCUGAGACAUUGCAGAGCCUGGGUUGUCUAUCUUCAUUGUGAAUGUUUGUCCUCUUCCUGGCUGGUGAUGACAGGCUUCAUAUCUCUUGAAGGAAUGUUGGGGAGCUGAGAAGGGCUGUGAGCCAUGGUUGCUAAGUGUUACUGUUAGUUCUUUAUUAUGUAAGAAUCUCUGCAUUGUGUUGAUACUAAAACAGUAAGUAAAGGGCGGGUGCUUUCAUUCUGCUUUUACAUAAGAAGUAUGGGAGUUUGCCCAUUUUUCUCUGAAGUCUUUUCGUCUUCGCGAUGCUCAGUUUGCGACCCUACCAGAAGCAGCGGCCGAAGACAGAGCCGCAUCAGUUAAUUUAGGCCUCCUGAGUCGUUUUGAUAAACAACUGGGUGGGAGGAGGGAUGGUUCAAAUGAGAUUUUAAGAAUUAUAGAUGUAUGUGUAUUUGCUGCUGCUCCACAGGAGAACUGAAAAUAGACUGAAAGCUGCUCCCAGCCAAAGCCAGAAGGAAACUGCAGUAUUGAGAGAGAGGAGAGAGAACAGACUCAAAUCACUCGGGGCAAGAGAGGGUUUACUGGUGUGGAAACCGGGUCGUGGGGAGGCCUACAGCAGAAUAUCAGGAGGGGACUUCAGCGGGGACCCAAGGAAAGAUGUGAAAGAAAAGACACUAUACAAAAGGUGAACCCUUUUGAUCCCAUCUUACUGUAAAGCCAAAAGGAGUGAGUACUGUUUUCAGUGACCCUGGCCCCAUAUGGGUGCUCUGCCUGUUGUGUCAGCCAGCUCUUCGGCUGGUACCUGGUUUGAAAGUUAUGUCUUUCAUGUAUUUAUUUCCAGACACCCUUUUAGCAGCAGUUACAUUUCAUAAAGGAAUUUUUAAUAUCUCUUUUGUUCCCUGCUAUGUCUGCCAUCACCCACAACAAUGCCUAGCACAAAGAAAGCAUUCAAUAAAUAUUUGCUGAGUGAAUGAAUGAUGUUUCUUCAUGAACAGACGAGGAAACUGAGGCAUAAUGUGAUUAACUGCCUGGUCCAUCAUAUCAUUUGUUCUAUCAAAAUUGCAAGUAAUAGAAACCAAUUUGAGCCAGAUACGAAGGAGUAUGACGGGAGGGGUCCCAGGAGUCUCAAAGACGCCAGGGUCUUCAGGAACUGACCUGGACACCUCUGGAUCUCUCUCCCUUCCUCCUCUCUCCUCUGAGGUCUCUCUCUCUCUCUCGGUUCCAGCCACAGGAAGGGACUCUGAAUCUCUCCCGGUCCUUGUCCCAAAUUCCCAGGAUGGGCUUCUGGUCAGGGCUGUGUCCACCAUUGCAUGAGUUUGCAGCAGUUCAAGCCAAUGAGUGGCGGGGCUGAAGAACCCAUCGAGGUGAGAGGAGCCGCUCACAUUCUCACGAAUUUCUCUGCGGAUGGUUAGAUCCAGAGAACACAUAAUCCGGCUGGUGUGAAUGACACCCCUAAGUAUUUACUCUGGAAAUUCUCAUGAUUAUCUUUACUGAGGAGUCUUUUAUCUGUGAAAAUGCAUAAUUAUGGAACAAGUCCUGAGGAUUGUCUAAAAUUACAAGUAAAAACUUGAGCCCA